This 70-nucleotide transfer RNA is filed under the name Perkinsus chesapeaki. It matches the Rfam family "tRNA". From Rfam's summary of the family: Transfer RNA (tRNA) molecules are approximately 80 nucleotides in length. Their secondary structure includes four short double-helical elements and three loops (D, anti-codon, and T loops). The record is from Rfam by way of RNAcentral. Lineage: Eukaryota; Perkinsozoa; Perkinsida; Perkinsidae.
GCAUCAUUGGUCUAGUGGUAGAAUACAACGUUGCCAUCUUGUGACCCGAGUUCGAUUCUCGGAUGAAGCA